AGGUACCAUGCUCCCUGCCCCCACUUACAUGCAGCCACCCUGACUAGCUCCUGGGAACUGGCUGGAGCUGAGUGACCAGAUGGCCAGACCCCUCUAGAGUGUGCAAGCUUGAGGGCCCAGGAUACUCCCUCUGUCAGUGCCUAACCUGGGAGAGAAGAGGGUCGGGUGAGGUUCACCAAGGAAGAGACAGGAUGAGAGCACCAUCCAUCCUCAUCCAGUUCCACCCUUGAGUCACCCAAGAAGAUGAAAGCAGGUGGAGAGCAGAAGGCGAGGGCAUGAAGAAGAGGCUGGAAGGAGGAAGAGAGGGCCGUGGUUCUCAUUUUCUAGGCGGGAAAAACACGUUUGUGGAGUCAGAGAUCACCAUGUUAGGUUUACAAAUAAAGACACCAGAG
Long non-coding RNA from Talpa occidentalis (Iberian mole), 392 nucleotides. RefSeq lists it as uncharacterized. Lineage: Eukaryota; Metazoa; Chordata; Mammalia; Eulipotyphla; Talpidae. The transcript has 3 exons. The record is from RefSeq and is a predicted model, not a curated record.